AGUGAACGCUGACGGUAGGCCUAACACAUGCAAGUCGAACGGCAGCACAGUAAGAGCUUGCUCUUACGGGUGGCGAGUGGCGGACGGGUGAGGAAUACAUCGGAAUCUACUUUUUCGUGGGGGAUAACGUAGGGAAACUUACGCUAAUACCGCAUACGACCUACGGGUGAAAGCAGGGGAUCUUCGGACCUUGCGCGAUUGAAUGAGCCGAUGUCGGAUUAGCUAGUUGGCGGGGUAAAGGCCCACCAAGGCGUCGAUCCGUAGCUGGUCUGAGAGGAUGAUCAGCCACACUGGAACUGAGACACGGUCCAGACUCCUACGGGAGGCAGCAGUGGGGAAUAUUGGACAAUGGGCGCAAGCCUGAUCCAGCCAUACCGCGUGGGUGAAGAAGGCCUUCGGGUUGUAAAGCCCUUUUGUUGGGAAAGAAAAGCAGCAGGUUAAUACCCCGCUGUUCUGACGGUACCCAAAGAAUAAGCACCGGCUAACUUCGUG
RNAcentral lists this ribosomal RNA (492 nucleotides) under uncultured bacterium. Its description in RNAcentral is "partial 16S ribosomal RNA". It matches the Rfam family "Bacterial small subunit ribosomal RNA", at positions 29 to 507 of the family's 1533-position model. The record is from RNAcentral.